CUUGAAACACGGACCAAGGAGUUCAGCGUGUACGCGAGUCAUUGGGUUGUUCAAACCCAAAGGCGAAAUGAAAGUGAAGGGAACUUUACGUUUCUGAGGGAUGAUGAGUCGGUUACCCGCAAGGGGCUGCUCCGCACUCCCGGGGCGUCUCUUUCUCAUUGCGAGUGGAGGCGCACCCAGAGCGUACACGCUGAUACCCGAAAGAUGGUGAACUAUGCCUGGCCAGGACGAAGCCAGGGGAAACCCUGGUGGAGGUCCGCAGCGAUUCUGACGUGCAAAUCGAUCGUCGGAGCUGGGUAUAGGGGCGAAAGACCAAUCGAACCAUCUAGUAGCUGGUUCCCUCCGAAGUUUCCCUCAGGAUA
RNAcentral lists this ribosomal RNA (362 nucleotides) under Phallospinophylus setosus. Its description in RNAcentral is "eukaryotic LSU rRNA". It matches the Rfam family "Eukaryotic large subunit ribosomal RNA", at positions 653 to 980 of the family's 3401-position model. Lineage: Eukaryota; Metazoa; Arthropoda; Insecta; Hemiptera; Miridae. The record is from RNAcentral.